CGGCAAUUGGAGGAAACUUUGACCGAGCAACGCCGCGUGAACGACGAAGUACUUUGGUAUGUAAAGUUCUUUUAUCAAGGAAGAAAAGCAAGUGGCGAACCAUUUGUUUGCCGGUACUUGAUGAAUAAGCCCCGGCUAAUUAUGUGCCAGCAGCCGCGGUAAGACAUAAGGGGCAAGUGUUAUCCGGAAUUAUUGGGCGUAAAGGGUGCGUAGGCGGUCUAGUAAGUCAGUGGUGUAAUGGCAACGCUCAACGUUGUCCGGCUAUUGAAACUGCUAAACUUGAGUUAGAUAGAGGCGAGUGGAAUUCCAUGUGUAGCGGUAAAAUGCGUAAAUAUAUGGAGGAACACCAGAGGCGUAGGCGGCUCGCUGGGUCUUAACUGACGCUGAGGCACGAAAGCGUGGGGAGCAAACAGGAUUAGAUACCCUGGUAGUCCACGCCGUAAGCGAUGAGUACUAAGUGUCGGGUUAAACCGGUACUGAAGUUAACACAUUAAGUACUCCGCCUGAGUAGUACUCGGCAAUGGAUGAAACUUAAAGGAAUUGACGGGACUCCGCACAAGCGGUGGAUCAUGUUGUUUAAUUCGAAGAUACCCGAAAAACCUUACCAGGUCUUGACAUGUUUUUGCGAAACGGUAGUAAUAUCGUAGAGGUUAUCAGAAACACAGGUGGUGCAUGGUUGUCGUCAGCUCGUGUCGUGAGAUGUUAGGUUAAGUCCUAAAACGAGCGAAACCCUUAUCGUUAGUUGCCAGCACGUUAUGGUGGGGACUUUAACGAGACUGCCAGUGAUAAACUGGAGGAAGGUGAGGAUCACGUCAAAUCAGCAUGCCCCUUAUGACCUGGGCUACAAACGUGAUACAAUGGC
Molecule: ribosomal RNA, 862 nt
Filed under: 'Phoenix dactylifera' phytoplasma (Sudan)
Lineage: Bacteria; Bacillati; Mycoplasmatota; Mollicutes; Acholeplasmatales; Acholeplasmataceae
Description: bacterial SSU rRNA
Rfam family: Bacterial small subunit ribosomal RNA
Source: RNAcentral